AUCUGGGCGGCGGAAUUCAAGACGGCUGGCGAGUCUCGCGCCCGUUCGGCCGUUCGAUAUUUCCGUCGCCGUGUCAGACGUCGCGACCUGUUUGUCGUCGGUCCUUGCUCGGAGGAAUUGCGAUCGAGUUCGUUGCGGGCACGUUUCGGCGUGCUCCGCGGCGAAGACGCGACUCUCUGGCUGACGACGGACAGUAAGCAACGGUGUCCGGCGCCGUGUCUCGCACUCGGCGUCGGUGCCGGUCAGCGACGAUUUCUUCGGGCCUCUUUCCGACCCGUCUUGAAACACGGACCAAGGAGUCUAACAUGCGCGCGAGUCGCGGGGUUUCGAGCGUACCACGGUGCGCUCGUUACUUCCGAAACCCGUACGUUGAAGGCGUAAUGAAAGUGAAUAGGGAAGAUGGCGUUCCGAGUCCACGUACCGUGAUCGAGUAUCGCGGCCGGACGUCCGCACUCCCGGGGCGUCUCAAUGGUUCGCCACGGACGCGGACGAUCGUCUUUCGGGGCGGUCGUCGGUCUGUGGCGGUCCGA
RNAcentral lists this ribosomal RNA (530 nucleotides) under Chionaspis gleditsiae. Its description in RNAcentral is "eukaryotic LSU rRNA". Lineage: Eukaryota; Metazoa; Arthropoda; Insecta; Hemiptera; Diaspididae. The record is from RNAcentral.